Molecule: ribosomal RNA, 468 nt
Filed under: uncultured bacterium
Lineage: Bacteria
Description: partial 16S ribosomal RNA
Rfam family: Bacterial small subunit ribosomal RNA
Source: RNAcentral
GACGAACGCUGGCGGCGUGCUUAACACAUGCAAGUCGAACGGAAAGGCCCUGCUUUGUUGGGGUGCUCGAGUGGCGAACGGGUGAGUAACCCGUGAGUAACCUGCCCUUGACUUUGGGAUAACUUCAGGAAACUGGGGCUAAUACCGGAUAGGAGCUCCUGCUUCAUGGUGGGGGUUGGAAAGUUUCGGCGGUUGGGGAUGGACUCGCGUCUUAUCAGCUUGUUGGUGGGGUAGUGGCUUACCAAGGCUUUGACGGGUAGCCGGCCUGAGAGGGUGACCGGCCACAUUGGGACUGAGAUACGGCCCAGACUCCUCCGGGAGGCAGCAGUGGGGAAUAUUGCACAAUGGGCGGAAGCCUGAUGCAGCAACGCCGCGUGCGGGAUGACGGCCUUCGGGUUGUGUACCGCUUUCGCCUGUGACGAAGCGUGAGUGACGGUAAUGGGUAAAGAAGCACCGGCUAACUACGUG